Molecule: ribosomal RNA, 724 nt
Filed under: Diamesus osculans
Lineage: Eukaryota; Metazoa; Arthropoda; Insecta; Coleoptera; Silphidae
Description: eukaryotic LSU rRNA
Rfam family: Eukaryotic large subunit ribosomal RNA
Source: RNAcentral
CCCGCCGGCUCUCCGGCCGACUCGCUCGACGGUAUCAUUCGAGGCGCGGAGCCGCGACCCGUUCGCAUCCGACUGUCCGCAAGCGCGGCCGGUCUCCCGACUGUCGGAUCUGAUGCCGGCACCGGGACCGGUCGGCUGCUGGCGGGCAAGUUCUCGGAUAGACUCCGAUCUCACGCCUAUCGGCGACGCUAUAGCUUUGGGUACUCUCAGGACCCGUCUUGAAACACGGACCAAGGAGUCUAGCAUGUGCGCGAGUCAUUGGGACUUGAUUAAACCUACUGGCGAAAUGAAAGUAAAGGCCGCGCUCAGCGCGCGCCUAGGGAGGAUGGGAGGCGCACACAGUCGCCUCCCCGCACUCCUGGGGCGUCUCGUUCUCAUUGCGAGAUGAGGCGCACCGAGAGCGCAAAUGCUGGGACCCGAAAGAUGGUGAACUAUGCCUGGUCAGAACGAAGUCAGGGGAAACCCUGAUGGAGGUUCGUAGCGAUUCUGACGUGCAAAUCGAUCGUCGGAACUGGGUAUAGGGGCGAAAGACUAAUCGAACCAUCUAGUAGCUGGUUCCCUCCGAAGUUUCCCUCAGGAUAGCUGGCGCUCGUUUUACGAGUCUCUUCCGGUAAAGCGAAUGAUUAGAGGCAUUGGGGUCGAAACGACCUCAACCUAUUCUCAAACUUUAAAUGGGUGAGAUCUCCGGCUUGCUUAGAUGUGAAGCCGCGAGAAGAUCGGAUCA